CAAUAUAUUGUUAUGCAACAAGAGAGUUAUCAAUGAAAAUUGAAGCGCCAAAAUAUCUUCAGGUCCAAAUUUUGAAUGCACACUGAUACAAUUUAUUCUAAAUUUUUCCGCCGCCAUCUCUCUACAAAAUUUAAGCAGUGCGUCUACAAGUAUGGACAAAGAUUCAAACAGAUCAAAGCAAAGAUAAUAUUUUUCCAUGCCAACAAAGAGCUUGGGAAGAAACAGAAUCUGCAAUAAGCAAAACUGAUUAGAAGAGGGAUAUUACUAGUGCAAAUAUAUGUAAUUCAUUUCAAUAACUUUAAAAUAAUUUCUUUUCCUUACUUUUGGAGAUCAAGGACUCUUUCCAAUAGGUAAGAGUUGCGUAAAGGCCAAUUAGUUGAUCAAAUUUGCGGUCAUUUACCAUGCCAUAACUGCUCCAGACUCAUCUACUUGACUUAAGCAUCCUGGUAAGUCAUAAAUGGAGACGCUGAUAUUACCAUGUUCCUUGAAGAUGGAUGUUGUGAUAUCAAGCAGUCACCAUACCAAUGUAUCGCUGCCUUUUCUUGUUCUUAUUUGGCAUGGCCAAGCUCUGAUGGUAAGCAACCCUCACUUCCAACCGAGAGGUUGUGAGUUCGAGUCUCACCAAGAGCAAGGUGGGAUGUUCUUGAAGGGAAUGAUGCCGGGGGUCUAUUUGGAAACAGCCUUUCUGCCCGUGGGUAGGGGUAAGGUCUGCGUACAUACUACCCUCCCCAAACCCCACUAAAUGAGAUUAUAUUGGGUUGUUGUUGUUGUAUUUGGCAUGGCCAACUAACAUCUUUGGUGAGUGUAAACAUUAGUCUAAAUCAAAAUCAGAGUUGCCUCUAACAGCCCUAGCUAGAACGUCUGGGAUUUUCGAGUGACUGUACCGAGGAAUUCUACCAUACUCCAUGCAACUAUAAUUAUUGAUCUUGCAUAGUCUAUCCAAAGGUUCAAGCCAGAUAUACUAACUCCAUGAACAACCAAAUUGAGAAAUAAAUCAGUAGAACAAGAAAGAAUUGUAGUAGCCAUGAUGGCAGUACUAUACCAAUUUUCAGAUCUCAAGAAUAUUCUCUACUCACCAUAAAAAACUAGUAGUAGUAGAAAAUAACUAAUUGUCUCACUCUCCUCGUCCUUCUUCC
This 1136-nucleotide long non-coding RNA is filed under the name Nicotiana benthamiana. RNAcentral's name for it is "long non-coding RNA (NBEN_LNC034361)". The record is from RNAcentral. Lineage: Eukaryota; Viridiplantae; Streptophyta; Magnoliopsida; Solanales; Solanaceae.